This 213-nucleotide ribosomal RNA is filed under the name Klebsiella pneumoniae. Its description in RNAcentral is "partial 23S ribosomal RNA". It matches the Rfam family "Bacterial large subunit ribosomal RNA", at positions 2718 to 2925 of the family's 2925-position model. The record is from RNAcentral. Lineage: Bacteria; Pseudomonadati; Pseudomonadota; Gammaproteobacteria; Enterobacterales; Enterobacteriaceae.
GGGUUGUCAUGCCAAUGGCACUGCCCGGGAGCUACAUGCGGAAGAGAUAAGUGCUGAAAGCAUCUAAGCACGAAACUUGCCCCGAGAUGAGUUCUCCCUGAGACUAUAAGUCUCCUGAAGGAACGUUGAAGACGACGACGUUGAUAGGCCGGGUGUGUAAGCGCAGCGAUGCGUUGAGCUAACCGGUACUAAUGAACCGUGAGGCUUAACCUU